This 2828-nucleotide long non-coding RNA is filed under the name Sus scrofa (pig). RNAcentral's name for it is "lncRNA (ENSSSCG00015065780.1)". Lineage: Eukaryota; Metazoa; Chordata; Mammalia; Artiodactyla; Suidae. The record is from RNAcentral.
AUCUGAAGUUUGUGUGGAUCCAGAAUGUUUAUUUCCUUUUUUGACCCCACAGCAGAUAGUUACAAAGACAGCUUUAAAGUAAAGAAGGGAAAAUUGGCUUGAUACCUCAGAAUCAACAACAAUUACCUUUGCCUGAAAUAUCCAGAGGCUCGGAAUCGGAAAUCCAGAAACUCUAGUGCCAGCAUUGUCUGGUGAGAUGAGGCAUCUGAGCAAGGGGAGACACCUAAUGGCAUUUCUCAUUACCAACAAAGAAAAACAGAUGAACAUAUGCUUGCAAACCCACGCCAGCUGACUUACUGAGUAGAAGAUAAAUGUGUUCAUCAGUGAAAGAGAAGGGGACCAACAGAAAGACACAUGUAGCCAGGAGAUGAAUUCAAUGAUCACCUUUAUUCCAGGCACCAACAAGUGAGGUAAAGGCAAAGACCGAAUGGAAAAAUGUCAGAAAUGAAUACCAAUGAUAAGAAGAGGUUCCAUGGCCAGGGAUUGAACCUGAACAGCAGCUACCUGGGCCACAACAGUGACAACACCGAAUCGUUAACCUGCUGAGUUACCAGGGAAAUCUCCCCCCCCUCCGCCACCAAAAUAUAUUCUUUUAGAGAAAUAUUUCUUUUCCUUUGGGGACUCUCUGUACUUAUCAGUAAUCUGCAUUAAGUGAUUGAGAUACAGGUUUUGGCUUUCAUUCUGCAAAGGCUUGAAGCAGACUUCAAGGUAAAAUAUUACAUAGCAUCAAGGAAAUGGGUAUUUUUCUAGGGAAUUUUCCUUCUUUACAAAGACAACUUUGAUUCUGAAUCAGACACUGACUUGGCACCACAGUGUCUUGGAAUGACCUUCCUUUAUCCAGAAGAGAGCUGUUUUAGACAAGAUCACAUGUUUGUUUUUGUUUUUUCAGGGCUGCAUCUGCGGCAUAUGGAGGUUCCCAGGCUAGGGGUCAAAUAGUAGCCUCAGCUGCCAGCCUACGCCACAGCCACAGCAAUGCGGGAACCAAGCCAUAUCUGUGACUGACACCAGAGCUCACAGCAACGCCAGAUCCUGAACCCACUGAGCAAGGCCAGGGACCAAACCUGUGUCCCCAUGGAUGCCAGUUGGAUUCGCUAACCACUGAGCCAUGACAGGAACACCUAAAAUAUUGGUUUUCAUGUUUGCUCAAAUUUUCUAGCUUGGGCCAUUGGGAGCUCUAGCAGUUAGUUCCUGUAUGUUUGACAUACCCCAUCUUCUGUUGUUACUGUUGUUUGCUAUUUGUUUGAUACUUUCUAAUACUACAAAAUGUUCAAGAAUCAUCUUUUUUAUUUCCUGCCGCAGUCCAAUAAUCGGCUAUUUCCCUAAGGAGUACUAGUAGCUUCUCUUUUAGAAAAGUAUUAAAAACCAAGAUGUUUUAGGUAUGCUCACUGAUACUGGGGUAUUGUUAUUCGAGGACCUCUCAGCUAAGAAGGAGAUAUAUAUGUGUAUAUACUAAUUACGUAUAUGCAUACUCAUCAGUGUUUCUAUGUGCAAACAUCUGUAUCCAUAUUAGGUCAAACAGGAGUUCAUAUUGGUGUCUCCAACUCUAAUUCAACUAAUCUUAGGUCAUUCUAGCCUUCUCCCUUUGCUUACCUGUAAGCUCCCGCUUCAGAAGUGAGACCUGGCUCCAGCCCUGAUAUCCAUUGACUUAACUGUUCAAUUCAAGUGUACAUGUACAGAAGUAUUAGAAUUGUAACCCUGACUUUCAAUAUGUUAAUCACCUGAAUAAAUUAAUUACCUUUUGCCUUAGUUUUCAUAAAGUGCACUCAUUUCCAAGUUUACUUAGAUGAGUAGCUCCUCUGCCUUCUGUAAGAUCAUAUUCCUAUAUAUUUUGUAACAGAACUUUUUUGUCAUCUGCAUUCUAUUCUGGGAUCCCAUGACCUCCAAAAUGAUUUAAAAUUAGCGUAUGUAAGGUUCUUUCUUUGUGUAAUAAAGUUCAAUGGGUUUCAACAAAUGUAUAUUGUCCACUAUUGUGUCCACUAUUGUAUCAUGGUGAAGAGUGUCACAUUUUAAAAGUUUCCCGUUCUUCACUUAUUCAAACCAUCUGCAUCCCAAACACCAAGAAGCUACUGAUUUUUUUUACUGUCUCUAUAGUUUUGCCUGUUCUAGAAUAUCAUAUAAUUAGGAAGAGACAGUAUGCAGUAUUUUCAGACUGACUUUCACUUAGCAAUAUGCAAAGUUUAAGAUUUAUCUAUGAUUUUAUUUAUUUGUGAAUAAUAUUCCAUUGUAUGGAUGAUCAUUUAUAAAAUGAAAUCAUAGUUCAUCUGUCUUAUUUCUAAACAGUUUUAUAUUAUAUUCAAUGUAUUAUGAUUUGUUUACCCAACAAGCUAUUGAAGGACUCUUGGUUGCUUCUGGUUUUGGGAUGAUAGAGAUGGUUGAAACAUUCACAAGUAGUUUUUUGUGUGUACAUAGAUUUUUAAAUGAGUAGAAAUUUAAGAUUGCAACUGCUGAUUAUGUGACAAACCUGUGUUUUGCUUUAUAAGAAACUGCCAAACUGUCUCUCAAAGUAUUAUACCAUUUUGCAUCCCCAUGGACAAUGAAAGUUCCUAUUGCUCCUCAUCCUUGUCAACUUUUGGUAUUUAUUUAUUUAUUUUUAGUCAUUCUACUAGGUGUGUGGUGAAAUCUUACUGUUUCAGUUUACAAUUCAUUAAUGAAAAAUUAUGCGGGGCAUUUUUUCAUAUGUGUAUUUACCAAAUGUUUAUCUUUCUAGGUGAGAUGUAUGUUGAGAUUUUUGGUCCAUUUUUAAAGUUCAAUUAAUUUUUUUUCUUGUUGAGUUUUAAGAAUUGUGUACUUUGAAUACAAGUCUUUCAUCAAAUAUAUGUUUUGCAAAU